GGGAUGGGUCAUCUACAUGUAUCGAAGAUUAAGUUCCGUCAUCCAAUACCAGAUGCCUUCUGCCCUAGGAAGUCUGUUCACAAUGGACAGCCUAGUCAGGACAUAGAUAAGUCAACUUGCAUGCCUGCUGAUUUCCAGAUAUACAUGGCCAUCUGUCUUUGGGUUCACCUGUUUGGACACAAUUCCAGUUGACUGGACGUGGAAUUCUCCUGGUGAAUUUGAUGCUUCCUCAAAUCCAGAUAUGAACUGCAUUAAACAUCAAAUUGUUACUCAUUCAUGGUUUCACAGAGAUUGUUAAUCAGUAGCGUAAGAUGUAUACAUCCCUCUCACAAACUCUUUCAGAUGUGAAAAUGGUUCAGUCACUUAUACCAAUUUGGGAGGAGUAUGAAAGGACGGGGAUACAUGAGGCAGCAAUACCUACUGAUCCUGCCAAACCACUUCCAGAAGAUACUUUGAAAACUGACAGGUAGUCAGAAUUUAAUAACAAACUUAUCAAAGUGCAUGGUGAAGCAGAAAGUUCUAUGUGUCGAACUCAAUUAAGGAAAGAUGUAAGGCCUGUGGAGCAGAUGACAUCUCCAAAAGAUGAAGGAAAUUUUGUUGGACUCCAAACUGAUAAUCUUAUUGAUGGAAACAUAAUUGGAUCUCCGUCAACACAAGAUUCUACUGAAGAAAGGGUUUCAAAUGCCAAACUGUCAUUGAAUAAGGAACUUCCAGCAUCUCAAGUGAUCGAGACGAUAAAUAUGAAGGCUGCAGAUAAUGAAGCACUGGGUCAUCCUUGAUUUGGCUGGUGAUUUAAUUGACUUCAAGGGAGAAAAGGAAAAAGCUUCUUACCCUUCAGAUCGAAACUCUUCGAAACCUUCAGAGGAAGGGUUCAGUGUUGGGAAACUGUGCCAUGAUGGCAUUUUUUGGGGUAAUUUGGGGAGAAAUGAAGAGAAGAAUUUUUGAGGAUGUGGUAGGGGAUGAGGUAGAGCAGCUUUGGGACUGUAUCCGAUUCUGGGCAUCGCUUUGGGCGUCUGCUUCUGAAGAAUUUAGGUAGAUUAGCUUUCAGCUCAUCCAUCUAGAUUGGAAAGCCGUAGUUUUGUAAUGUAGAGUUUUUUUAGCCUUUCUGUUUUGUGUGGUGGCCUUCUUGACCACCUCUUGUUCCGUUAGUGUCUUGUUCUUUUUUGAAAUAAAUAUAUAGGAUAGAGACCC
Molecule: non-coding RNA, 1191 nt
Organism: Prunus avium (sweet cherry)
Lineage: Eukaryota; Viridiplantae; Streptophyta; Magnoliopsida; Rosales; Rosaceae
Source: RefSeq, a predicted model, not a curated record